GCGCUGGAGUUAGCGUUGUGGGCGACUUCGGUCAAGGUCAAGGAGGAAAAGGCAAGGCUCCCAUGUACGGGUGACGGUGGAUGAGGCGAAGGGCCAUGGAAACCUUGAGGAGGGUUUGUUGUGUCGUAGCGCCUGUUGGGUUCUCUUGGGUUCUUAGUUUUGCGAAGUGUUUGUUUAGUCUCUGUUGAUUACUUCUAGGCUAGGUUGUCGCAAUUGAUUUUCUAGGUAUGAACUGCUUAAAUUGAUGAAUGCAUUUUCGUUAUCGAGAC
Long non-coding RNA from Cucurbita moschata (crookneck pumpkin), 269 nucleotides. RefSeq lists it as uncharacterized. NCBI's taxonomy places the organism in Eukaryota, Viridiplantae, Streptophyta, Magnoliopsida, Cucurbitales, Cucurbitaceae. The record is from RefSeq and is a predicted model, not a curated record. The transcript has 2 exons.